This 650-nucleotide ribosomal RNA is filed under the name uncultured marine bacterium. RNAcentral's name for it is "bacterial SSU rRNA". It matches the Rfam family "Bacterial small subunit ribosomal RNA", at positions 852 to 1498 of the family's 1533-position model. The record is from RNAcentral.
CUAACGCGUUAAGUUAUCCGCCUGGGGAGUACGGCCGCAAGGCUAAAACUCAAAGGAAUUGACGGGGACCCGCACAAGCGGUGGAGCAUGUGGUUUAAUUCGAUGCAACGGCGAAGAACCUUACCUGGUCUUGACAUACAGAGAACUUUCCAGAGAUGGAUUGGUGCCUUCGGGAACUCUGAUACAGGUGCUGCAUGGCUGUCGUCAGCUCGUGUCGUGAGAUGUUGGGUUAAGUCCCGUAACGAGCGCAACCCUUAUCCUUAUUUGCCAGCACAUUAUGGUGGGAACUAUAAGGAGACUGCCGGUGAUAAACCGGAGGAAGGCGGGGACGACGUCAAGUCAUCAUGGCCCUUACGACCAGGGCUACACACGUGCUACAAUGGGAAGGACAAAGGGUCGCUAAGCCGCGAGGUGGUGCUAAUCUCAUAAACCUUUUCGUAGUCCGGAUCGGAGUCUGCAACUCGACUCCGUGAAGUCGGAAUCGCUAGUAAUCGUGGAUCAGAAUGCCACGGUGAAUACGUUCCCGGGUCUUGUACACACCGCCCGUCAUACCAUGGGAGUGGGUUGCACCAGAAGUAGCUAGUCUAACUGUUUACAGGGGACGGUUACCACGGUGUGAUCCAUGACUGGGGUAAAGUCGUAACAAGGUA